GGCGGCGCCACGUGUUCAUCUGGAUCUCGUUCAUAGACAGCUACUUUGAAAUCCUCUUCCUGUUCCAGGCCCUGCUCACAGUGGUGUCCCAGGUGCUGUGUUUCCUGGCCAUCGAGUGGUACCUGCCCCUGCUUGUGUCUGCGCUGGUGCUGGGCUGGCUGAACCUGCUUUACUAUACACGUGGCUUCCAGCACACAGGCAUCUACAGUGUCAUGAUCCAGAAGCCCUGGUGAGCCUGAGCCAGGAGGCUUGGCGCCCCGAAGCUCCUACAGGCCCCAAUGCCACAGAGUCGGUGCAGCCCGUGGAGGGACAGGAGGAUGAGGGCAACGGGGCCCAGUACAGGGGUAUCCUGGAAGCCUCCUUGGAGCUCUUCAAAUUCACCAUCGGCAUGGGCGAGCUGGCCUUCCAGGAGCAGCUGCACUUCCGCGGCAUGGUGCUGCUGCUGCUGCUGGCCUAUGUGCUGCUCACCUACAUCCUGCUGCUCAACAUGCUCAUCGCCCUCAUGAGUGAGACCGUCAACAGUGUCGC
Molecule: small RNA, 528 nt
Filed under: Pongo abelii (Sumatran orangutan)
Lineage: Eukaryota; Metazoa; Chordata; Mammalia; Primates; Hominidae
Description: processed transcript
Source: RNAcentral